CUGCCUUCCCGAAGCAGCCGCAGCGGCGUUGAAACCGGCGGGGCCAAGCAGUCCCCGGGCGCCGGUCGGCCACUGAGCCUGCGCGGGUCUCGCCAACGCAUGCGUAGAAAUGCUGAGGGAGAUCGUUCGGAAACACUUUCCAGUGUUAAAUACACGUGAGACUAUAAUCAAUCUUCAUUCAGAGUAUGCAGUAUUACUCUUUGACGUUUCUUGGUGUCUGAAGUGGGGAUAUGAAGAUGUGAUGCCUUCCACGACCCCAGGACAUUGAGAAUGCAGGCCUGGCCAGCAGAGCCUUUUGGCUCACCACCUUCCCAGACUCCUGGAGGUUGUCUAGGAUGACAUUGAAUCAAGCCUUAAGCUGGCACUCUCAACCAUCAAAGUGAUUCCCCUAAUGUGGCCAUCCUUUCAUCCUAACCUCCAUGAACUAUCACUGAAGCAGAAUGUCCAGCCAUGGCAUGGUGAAGAACACAGGUGGUGCCUGGCUACCUAAUAGUAGCAUCCAGAGUCUUAAUAGCUCAUAACAUUGAGUAACCAUCUAAGGACUAAAAGUCCAUGCAGAGGAAACAGUCUCGGAAAGUAUGAUCAAAGAAUUUCUAUCAAAAUCCUUGUUCAAAAGGAGGAAAUGUGAAAGUCCUAAAUUUUGGGGUGUUUGAUGGUGAGGACUGCUAGCCCAGACUCGGGAUCAAUAAUUUACUGCUUUUGUUAACUCGUAUAGAUCAAACAGACUUAAUACAGACUUAAUUUUGUAACUAAGGAAACAUUUUCUUUGUAACCAAGCUAAGAAAGAAUGUUGUCAGCUUGUUCCCGAAGAGCCCUGAUACAAACAGUGUAUCUAACCUCUAUGUUCCUAGAAAGGAAUGUCUUGCAACCACCGUAUAAACCCUCUACAGUCACCAAGUAGUAACUAAUCAAGAAAGACUCUGUAAACCAAUCAUGUUAAGAUCCCUGCUUCAAGAUAUUCUGCCUCCCACUUCCCUGAAUCAUUGAGCACCUAUCAGAAAUCUUGUAUUGUUAGUCUUGAUUUUACCAUGUAAACAUGCCUUUGUAAUUGCACCACCUUGGAGCACAGCAGUUUCACUUUGUGGACUGUGUGUUUCCUCAGUUGCAAAUAAAUUUGCCUUCAAUAAAACUCUUUGCUUUUGCUUUAUCAGAGUAUGUGGUAUCACUCUUUGAAAUUGUCAACAUUGGAAAAAGGCCAUAUUGUUUGGUGCUAAGCAUCUUGUAAAGAAUAAUUAAAUUGAAAAUAUUUUUGAGCACAUACUAUGUAUAAGGCAUGGUGGGAGGCACUGUGGAUGAUUUAAAACCCUUUAAAGGCUUUCAUACCAUCAGUAAGCAUUGGUUGAGCACAUGUGUGCCAGGCACUGCACUAAAUGCUGGAGGUGCAAAUAUUGAAAACAAAGUUCCUACCUUCAAGAAGCUCACUGUCUACUGAGAGAUACAACCAACGCAAUACAAGCACAGGGUUACAAGUGCUGUGAUAUACAUAUGCAAGGUUUUAGGCUGUGCUGUGUCUUGAGGGAUGAACAGGAAUUAGUUUGGUGAAGCCACUGAAGGACCCUAGCAGGAGAGUGACAUUGUCAUACUUGGCUUUACAAAAAAUCACUUUGGCUGCUGCAGAGAAAAUACAAGAAGUGAGCAAGCUGAAGGGAAAGCAGGCCAGUUAGGAGGAUACUGCCAUAGCAAUUAUCCAGAUGAGAAAUGGUGUGAACUUGAACAAAAAUAAAGUAAGUAAGGAUAGUGAGGAGGGAACUGAUUUGAAAGAUAAUUUUUUUUCUUUUCAGUUCCAGUUGCUGUCCAGUUGAUUUUGACUUAUGGCAACUCCAUGUGUAUCAGAGUAGAAA
Trichechus manatus latirostris (Florida manatee) is the source of this 1841-nucleotide long non-coding RNA. RefSeq lists it as uncharacterized. The transcript has 4 exons. Lineage: Eukaryota; Metazoa; Chordata; Mammalia; Sirenia; Trichechidae. The record is from RefSeq and is a predicted model, not a curated record.